AUGCACAAACUAUGGACAACUACUCAACAACAAUUUGAUACCCGCAAAAACAACUUCACACCAACUAAUUCUCAUUUUCACCAACAACAACUUCAGAACAAACACUGGAAGUUUAAGACCAGUAACAACCUUGCUUCACCUCCCUCAGUCCACAUCUCUACACAACUGUUAACCCACACUGGUAAAGCUAUAACAACAACCUCUUCCAUGAAACACACUUCAACAACCAUUUCCUCAAUCAUCUCAGCUUCUUCAACGACAAUAAUAUACACCAUUUUGCCACUAUCGACAACAAUCUUGAUGUAA
Vicia faba (fava bean) is the source of this 306-nucleotide non-coding RNA. The record is from the annotation of a GenBank genome assembly. NCBI's taxonomy places the organism in Eukaryota, Viridiplantae, Streptophyta, Magnoliopsida, Fabales, Fabaceae.